GAUGAACGCUGGCGGCGUGCCUAAUACAUGCAAGUCGAGCGAACGGACGCGGCGCUUGCGUCUCUGAUGUUAGCGGCGGACGUGUGAGUAACGCGUGGAUAACCUACCUAUAAGACUGGGAUAACUUCGAGAAACCGUAGCUAAUCCCGGAGAAUAUUUUGCACCGCGGGGUUCAAAGGUGAGAGACGGUCUUUCUGUAACUUCUAGAUGGAUCCGGGCUGCAUGAGCUAGUUGGUAAGGUAACGGCCUACCAAGGCAACGAUGCAUGGCCGACCGGAGGGGGUGAUCGGCCACCCUGGAACGGGGACACGGUCAAGACUACUACGGGAGGCAGCAGUAGGGAAUCUGACGCAAUGGGCGAAAGCCUGACGGAGCAACGCCGCGUGAGUGAUGACGGUCUUCGGAUCGUAAAACUCUGUUAUUAGGGAGGAACAUAUGUGUAAUGAACUGUGCACAGCUUGACGGUACCUAAUCAGAAAGCCACGGCUAACUACGUG
Molecule: ribosomal RNA, 497 nt
Filed under: uncultured bacterium
Lineage: Bacteria
Description: partial 16S ribosomal RNA
Rfam family: Bacterial small subunit ribosomal RNA
Source: RNAcentral